GAUGAACGCUGGCGGCGUGCCUAAUACAUGCAAGUCGAGCGAACAGAUGAGGAGCUUGCUCCUCUGACGUUAGCGGCGGACGGGUGAGUAACACGUGGAUAACCUACCUAUAAGACUGGGAUAACUUCGGGAAACCGGAGCUAAUACCGGAUAAUAUAUUGAACCGCAUGGUUCAAUAGUGAAAGACGGUUUUGCUGUCACUUAUAGAUGGAUCCGCGCCGCAUUAGCUAGUUGGUAAGGUAACGGCUUACCAAGGCAACGAUGCGUAACCGACCUGAGAGCGUGAUCCGACACCCGGUCACUGAGGCUCGUCCCAGACUCUUACGGGGGGCCGCAGUAGGGACUCUUCCGCAAUGCGGGAAAGCCUGACGUAGCAACGUCGCGUGAGUGAUGAAGGUCUUCUGAUGGGAAAACUCUGUUAUUAGUGAAGAACAAAUGUUUAAGUAACUAUGCACGUAUUGACGGUACCGAAUCAGAAAGCCCCGGCUAACUACGUG
RNAcentral lists this ribosomal RNA (497 nucleotides) under uncultured bacterium. RNAcentral's name for it is "partial 16S ribosomal RNA". It matches the Rfam family "Bacterial small subunit ribosomal RNA", at positions 28 to 507 of the family's 1533-position model. The record is from RNAcentral.